This 923-nucleotide ribosomal RNA is filed under the name uncultured bacterium. RNAcentral describes it as "bacterial SSU rRNA". It matches the Rfam family "Bacterial small subunit ribosomal RNA", at positions 57 to 993 of the family's 1533-position model. The record is from RNAcentral.
GCAAGUCGAACGAGCGAGAGAAAGCUUGCUUUCUCAAGCGAGUGGCGAACGGGUGAGUAACGCGUGAGGAACCUGCCUCAAAGAGGGGGACAACAGUUGGAAACGACUGCUAAUACCGCAUAAGCCCACAGCUCGGCAUCGAGCAGAGGGAAAAGGAGCAAUCCGCUUUGAGAUGGCCUCGCGUCCGAUUAGCUAGUUGGUGAGGUAAUGGCCCACCAAGGCGACGAUCGGUAGCCGGACUGAGAGGUUGAACGGCCACAUUGGGACUGAGACACGGCCCAGACUCCUACGGGAGGCAGCAGUGGGGAAUAUUGCACAAUGGGGGAAACCCUGAUGCAGCGACGCCGCGUGGAGGAAGAAGGUCUUCGGAUUGUAAACUCCUGUUGUUGAGGAAGAUAAUGACGGUACUCAACAAGGAAGUGACGGCUAACUACGUGCCAGCAGCCGCGGUAAAACGUAGGUCACAAGCGUUGUCCGGAAUUACUGGGUGUAAAGGGAGCGCAGGCGGGAAGACAAGUUGGAAGUGAAAUCUAUGGGCUCAACCCAUAAACUGCUUUCAAAACUGUUUUUCUUGAGUAGUGCAGAGGUAGGCGGAAUUCCCGGUGUAGCGGUGGAAUGCGUAGAUAUCGGGAGGAACACCAGUGGCGAAGGCGGCCUACUGGGCACCAACUGACGCUGAGGCUCGAAAGUGUGGGUAGCAAACAGGAUUAGAUACCCUGGUAGUCCACACCGUAAACGAUGAUUACUAGGUGUUGGAGGAUUGACCCCUUCAGUGCCGCAGUUAACACAAUAAGUAAUCCACCUGGGGAGUACGACCGCAAGGUUGAAACUCAAAGGAAUUGACGGGGGCCCGCACAAGCAGUGGGGUAUGUGGUUUAAUUCGACGCAACGCGAAGAACCUUACCAAGUCUUGACAUCCCUUG